This 481-nucleotide ribosomal RNA is filed under the name uncultured bacterium. RNAcentral's name for it is "partial 16S ribosomal RNA". It matches the Rfam family "Bacterial small subunit ribosomal RNA", at positions 28 to 507 of the family's 1533-position model. The record is from RNAcentral.
GACGAACGCUGGCGGCGUGCUUAACACAUGCAAGUCGAACGGGAUCCGGGCUUUCGGGUUUGGUGAGAGUGGCGAACGGGUGAGUAACACGUGAGUACCCUGCCCCCUUCUUUGGGAUAACGUCGGGAAAUCGGCGCUAAUACUGGUUAUUCUUGCUGCAUCGCAUGGUGUGGUUUGGAAAGGGUUUCUGGUGGGGGAUGGGUUCGCGGCCUAUCAGCUUGUUGGUGGGGUGAUGGCCUACCAAGGCUUUGACGGGUAGCCGGCCUGAGAGGGUGUCCGGCCACACUGAGACUGAGACACGGCCCAGACUCCGACGGGCGGCAGCAGUGGGGAAUAUUACGCGAUGGGCACAAGCCUGAUGCAGCGACGCGGCGAGAGAGAUGGCGGCCUUCGGGUUGUAAACCUCUUUCAGUAUGGAACAAGGAUCCUUCGUUUGGGGAGUUUGAGGGUACGUUCAGAAGAAGCGCCGGCUAACUACGUG